AUUAUUUUAAGCUAUAUAUUAGGAGUAAAUAAAAUUUAUGAAAUUAAAAAAUUUUGGCGGUAUUUUAAGCUUAUUAGAGGAAUUUGCUCUGUGAUGGACACAACGCCUUAAUCUUACUUAAUUUAGUAAUUUAAAUCAGUUUGUAUACCACUAUAUUAAUUAUAUUGUAUAGUUAUAUUUAAUAUUUUUUUUAAAAAAAAUAUAUUAAGUCAAGGUGCAUCUAAUAAUUAUGAAUGAAGUGAAUUACAUUAAUUUUAAUGUAAUUUUUUACAUGAAAAAAUUAAUUAGGAUUUAAUAGUAAAAUACUAAUAUUAUGAGUAUUUGAAUCAAGCUCUAAAAUAUGCAC
This 346-nucleotide ribosomal RNA is filed under the name Ixodes scapularis (black-legged tick). Its description in RNAcentral is "partial 12S ribosomal RNA". Lineage: Eukaryota; Metazoa; Arthropoda; Arachnida; Ixodida; Ixodidae. The record is from RNAcentral.